Molecule: long non-coding RNA, 2522 nt
Organism: Fukomys damarensis (Damara mole-rat)
Lineage: Eukaryota; Metazoa; Chordata; Mammalia; Rodentia; Bathyergidae
Source: Ensembl
CUGAAGACCAUAAAGCCUUGACAGGGUGGGGAUUUAGGUCAAUGGCUGUUAUCUGCCUUGCAAGGUCCUGAGUUCAAUCCCCCGUACUACAGAAAAACAAAAACAAAAAACACCUUGACAUAUUAGUCAACAAGCCUUGUGAAGGAAAAGCCUUGGUCAAGUUCAUGGGAGCUGAGCUGGCUUUAAAAGAAUGGACAUAGUUAAUAAGAGCAGCUAUUACACAUGACCUUUUGAGAGCUUGCCCUGAUCUUUGACUCAUUCUUCUCUUUAACUGAAUGGGAGAGGAGUCAGGGAUUCCUCUGGUCUAUCCAGCCCCUUCUACUGGGAGCCUUCCUCGCUGUCCACUGCUGGGAGCCAACAGGGGAUGCGUCAGGCCAGCCCAUCACUCUAGCAGAGGCAACCGGAGUGACCUCACCAGAGGAGGAGCUGAGAUCUGGCUUAAUCCAUGGCACUGACAUCCACUUGGCGACCUGGGCUUUGCAGUCAGUUUUUUUAAUGCUCCCGAAUGGUCAGAAAAAGAAUGCAGCUUGCUCCUGGACACUGGACUUGGCCAUGUGACUCACUUUAACCAAAGAUAGCUUCUGGUUCCACCACGGAAACGUCCAGCCUCUGAGUCACCGAGGCCUAAUUCCACAGAGAAGUAAAGAGGCUUUUGUGGUAGCAAUCCUUUCCCUUCAACCACCGAGCAAGGCUUCUUCAGGGCUCCGGCCACCAAAGAGCUUCUCCAGCUCCUUUGGGUGAUGACUGAGGCGACUGAGCUCUGAGCAUCCACUGGUGACAAGUGACAACUCUGAGAGCCAUCAAGUCCCCUGCCUUCCUUACUAGAAGAGUCAUAAGAAUCUUUCCUAUCAACCUUCUCUUCGAAAUCGUAAGCAAAUGCUGAAUUAGAACAGCACAUUUAGAGCACUACAGGAGCACGACAGGACAGCAUUGUGGUUCUACCUUGCAACUUCUGGAACAUGGUGGCCAGGGAGCUCAGCAGGCUCGGCAUCCAUAUCGUCCUCAUCAUCCUGUCAUCUCCACACUUCUCCUUUUUCCUUCCUUCUACUGUGUCCUCUGUAAUGUUUGUUCCAUUGCAAAAAAAAAAAAAAAAAAAAAAAAAAAAAAACCUUCCACCAUUCAUUCAUUUACUCAGUAAACACGAAAAGGACGUUUUCUUGUUGCCAGGUGCUAUUCUAGUUGCCAGGGAUACAGCAGUGAACAAGAUGGCAGCUGUCCCUGCCCACACAGAACUCCUGCAGCAACCCAGAGACAAGGAUGUGGUUCCUCUUCCCCCAACAGAAUCCUUAUAACCCGCCAGACAAUCUCUGACCCAGCGCCCUAUAGGAAGAAGUUGCUGGGAUGGGAAGAACUUCAUGGGACCAAUUCGGUGAUCGCGGCCCCAAACACCACGCAGUCUUCUUCGCCCUGGCACUGGUUCCUCUUGCCACCCCUACCCAGCUGGGAGCCUCCUGCAAGAACAACAGAUUUAUAAUGUGAACAAAACAAAGGAGUUGGGAAGGAACAACUCUUGCAAAUAAGUAGGUCAAGGCACCAUCAAUUUCCAAAUUUAAAAUUAUGUUUGAAAAAUGUACCUUUAAUACAAGAGGCUUGUGGCCCUAUGGGGUAAAACACGAAGGCUUUAAAGUUCCUGAGCGGAGGCUUCCUCAGGUAGCCUGAAGUUUACCCUGGAGGUUAAGCAAUAAAAUGAAAACAAAAAUAAUUUAACAGUUUUGCAGUUAGUUGAACUCAGCAACAGCUCACUCAAUCGCUUUCACCUUCCUGGAGCUUGCCGUCCUCAUAAAGUUACAAGAUGCAUUUCAAAGCUAUGAAUUUGCUAAAUAGAACUUCAUUUCCUCUUCUUAUUAGAGGUAAUUAAAUUUAUUAGACGUCAGUAAAAGCCUUGUAAACAGAAAAUAUGAAUGCUUAUAAAAGUCUGCCCUUUCUUUUCAACCUAAUAAUUAAGAUGCAACGAGAAAGCAGCUAAUAACGGCUCAUAAUUUAUGAGGUGCCAUUCACCCCUGAAUCUGAGACAUAUUGUGGAGGUAUUAAACACUGAAAUGAAAAUAAUACCCACUGAAACACAUUAUUUAUUAAAUACAUAACCACUCAGAGAAAUAAACACGUUGCAUAAAGAACUUGGUAUUUCUGAUGGAAACAGCAUAUACAUCAUCUCCUGCUUUGGAUAUAUUACCCAUCGAGUUGAAUUCUUACAUCAAAGUCACAACUUGUUUAAAUGCAAACUGCCCAUGGCAGCCUGGCAGGCCCCAAAUUUCCACUAGACGUUCACCUUGAUAUCAGUUUUCAAAGACAGAGUCACUGCGAAGGUUUUUCAUUAUUAUUGUUUUUAGCAGUCUUGAAAGAAAAGAACCCCCUUCCAGCAAGCAUUAGAAAAGCAGAAACAUUAGAGAAGAAAAUGAAGAGAUUCUGAAGAGAAUAGUGAGAAUUUAAAAUUCGUGAAAAAGUUUCUCACCCUCUAAUACACACAAAUUUAGAAGCAGCUGCAGAUUCAGUGCCCCACCCUCAUCCCACUCCAAUGAUGC